RNAcentral lists this ribosomal RNA (514 nucleotides) under uncultured bacterium. RNAcentral describes it as "partial 16S ribosomal RNA". It matches the Rfam family "Bacterial small subunit ribosomal RNA", at positions 28 to 523 of the family's 1533-position model. The record is from RNAcentral.
GAUGAACGCUGGCGGCGUGCCUAAUACAUGCAAGUCGAGCGAACAGAUGAGAAGCUUGCUUCUCUGAUGUUAGCGGCGGACGGGUGAGUAACACGUGGGUAACCUACCUAUAAGACUGGGAUAACUCCGGGAAACCGGGGCUAAUACCGGCUAAUAUUUUGAACCGCAUGGUUCAAUAGUGACAGACGGUUUCGGCUGUCACUUAUAGAUGGACCCGCGCCGUAUUAGCUAGUUGGUAAAGUAACGGCUUACCAAGGCGACGAUACGUAGCCGACCUGGGAGGGUGAUCGGCCACACUGGAACUGGGACACGGUCCAGACUCCUACGGGAGGCAGCAGUAGGGAAUCUUCCGCAAUGGGCGAAAGCCUGACGGAGCAACGCCGCGUGAGUGAUGAAGGUCUUCGGAUCGUAAAACUCUGUUGUUAGGGAAGAACAAAUUUGUUAGUAACUGAACAAGUCUUGACGGUACCUAACCAGAAAGCCACGGCUAACUACGUGCCAGCAGCCGCAGUAA